RNAcentral lists this ribosomal RNA (425 nucleotides) under uncultured bacterium. RNAcentral describes it as "bacterial SSU rRNA". It matches the Rfam family "Bacterial small subunit ribosomal RNA", at positions 356 to 773 of the family's 1533-position model. The record is from RNAcentral.
GGGGAAUAUUGGACAAUGGGCGAAAGCCUGAUCCAGCCAUGCCGCGUGUGUGAAGAAGGUCUUCGGAUUGUAAAGCACUUUAAGUUGGGAGGAAGGGUUGUAGAUUAAUACUCUGCAAUUUUGACGUUACCGACAGAAUAAGCACCGGCUAACUCUGUGCCAGCAGCCGCGGUAAUACAGAGGGUGCAAGCGUUAAUCGGAAUUACUGGGCGUAAAGCGCGCGUAGGUGGUUUGUUAAGUUGGAUGUGAAAUCCCCGGGCUCAACCUGGGAACUGCAUUCAAAACUGACUGGCUAGAGUAUGGUAGAGGGUGGUGGAAUUUCCUGUGUAGCGGUGAAAUGCGUAGAUAUAGGAAGGAACACCAGUGGCGAAGGCGACCACCUGGACUAAUACUGACACUGAGGUGCGAAAGCGUGGGGAGCAAAC